GCCCUAAUAGCUUAUUUUAAAGCAUUGACCUUGUAAGCCAAAGAUUGCAAUUUUAACAUUGCUUAGGGCA
RNAcentral lists this transfer RNA (70 nucleotides) under Otophryne sp. AMNH 101748. RNAcentral describes it as "tRNA-Thr". It matches the Rfam family "tRNA". Rfam says of the family: Transfer RNA (tRNA) molecules are approximately 80 nucleotides in length. The record is from RNAcentral. Lineage: Eukaryota; Metazoa; Chordata; Amphibia; Anura; Microhylidae.